This 415-nucleotide ribosomal RNA is filed under the name uncultured microorganism. Its description in RNAcentral is "bacterial SSU rRNA". It matches the Rfam family "Archaeal small subunit ribosomal RNA", at positions 330 to 745 of the family's 1478-position model. The record is from RNAcentral.
GCGCACCAGUCGAGAAACCUUCGCAAUGCGGGAAACCGCGACGAGGGGACUCCCAGUGCCUACGCUCAGCGUAGGCUGUUCCCGAGCCUAGAAAGCUCGGGGAGUAAGGGCUGGGUAAGACGGGUGCCAGCCGCCGCGGUAAUACCCGCAGCCCGAGUGGUGGCCACUAUUAUUGGGCCUAAAGCGUCCGUAGCCGGCCCGGUAAAUGCCUGGGUAAAUCGUGAGGCCUAACCUCACGAAUUCCGGGUAGACUGCCGGGCUAGGGGACCGGAGGAGGGAGAGGGGUACUCCAGGGGUAGGGGUGAAAUCCUGUAAUCCCUGGAGGACCACCGGUGGCGAAGGCGCUCUCCUAGGACGGGUCCGACGGUGAGGGACGAAAGCCAGGGGAGCGAACCGGAUUAGAUACCCCCGUAGU